UCUUGCGCAAUGGGUGAAACCCUGACGCAGCGACGCCGCGUGCGGGACGGAGGCCUUCGGGUCGUAAACCGCUUUCAGCAGGGAAGAGUCGAGACUGUACCUGCAGAAGAAGCCCCGGCUAACUACGUGCCAGCAGCCGCGGUAAUACGGAGGGGGCGAGCGUUAUCCGGAUUCAUUGGGCGUAAAGCGCGCGUAGGCGGCCCGGCAGGCCGGGGGUCGAAGCGGGGGGCUCAACCCCCCGAAGCCCCCGGAACCUCCGCGGCUUGGGUCCGGUAGGGGAGGGUGGAACACCCGGUGUAGCGGUGGAAUGCGCAGAUAUCGGGUGGAACACCGGUGGCGAAGGCGGCCCUCUGGGCCGAGACCGACGCUGAGGCGCGAAAGCUGGGGGAGCGAACAGG
Molecule: ribosomal RNA, 398 nt
Filed under: uncultured bacterium
Lineage: Bacteria
Description: partial 16S ribosomal RNA
Rfam family: Bacterial small subunit ribosomal RNA
Source: RNAcentral